This is a long non-coding RNA of Chiroxiphia lanceolata (lance-tailed manakin), 766 nucleotides long. RefSeq lists it as uncharacterized. The record is from RefSeq and is a predicted model, not a curated record. The transcript has 3 exons. Lineage: Eukaryota; Metazoa; Chordata; Aves; Passeriformes; Pipridae.
AUCUUCCCGUCUCUUCCCGAAACAUGUGAAUAGCCAGUCUUCAGACUCAGCACAGAGCCUUUCUUCAGACAAUCCUAUCUGAGUCAGGUCCACAAGGAAGGAGAAGGCAAUCCAGAAGCAUUUAAUAUGCCAGAUCUGAAUUGUCCAAAGUAUCUGCUGGAGUAUGGCCUCUGAACCCACAUCUCCUGGUGACCUGGGACAUAAACUGUUGUAUGGCAAAUCCUGUCUUGAUCAAAUUGGCAACAGAGUCUCAAGAAUUCUUUUAAGUACCUAACAACCACUGAUUUAAGUAUCAGCUUGCCUGCGUGACCUUUAAGGGUUAUAGGAACACCUUUUAUGCCUCCUUUCUCUUAGUACUAGGAGAAGUAUUUCAAUCAUUACACACCUUUAUAAAACACCUGGAGAUGCAUGUGAGACAUAAAUGUGAAAGUAAUAUUAUUGGUAUCAUAUUAUUAUUUUUCCCAAGGAAAUCGCUGUUUUCCACAUAGCAGAGCACAUGACUUCUUGUUUAUUGUGUAUUAAUAGCCUUGUGUUGUGAUGGUAAGUAGGACACAGAUACAGCUUUUCAGUGAUGUACAGUACUCUUUCUUAUCUUUAAUUAAAUGCUAUUCCCUUGUACUGGAAUGUAUUCUGUGAUUACACAUGUUUACAGUCUCUAAGUAACUUACCAUCAAAUACACUAAUGAAAAUCAGUGCCCCAAAGUGACUUGUGCGUUUUGUCUUGUACUAUCCAACACCUCUCUCAUAUUUUAUUUUAUUUUUUAAA